RNAcentral lists this ribosomal RNA (443 nucleotides) under uncultured bacterium. RNAcentral's name for it is "partial 16S ribosomal RNA". It matches the Rfam family "Bacterial small subunit ribosomal RNA", at positions 338 to 795 of the family's 1533-position model. The record is from RNAcentral.
CCUACGGGGGGCUGCAGUGGGGAAUAUUGGGCAAUGGAGGCAACUCUGACCCAGCAAUGCCGCGUGAGUGAUGAAGGUAAUGUGAUUGUAAAGCUCUUUUCGUGGGAACGAAGAAAUGACGGUACAAAAGGAAUAAGCCCCGGCUAACUACGUGCCAGCAGCCGCGGUAAUACGGAGGGGGCAAGCGUUGUACGGAAUGACUGGGAGUAAAGGGUGUGUAGGUGGUUUGCUAAGUUAGAUGUGUAAUACCCAGGGCUUAACUCGGGUGAUGCAUCUCAAACUGUUAGACUUGAGUACUGGGGCGGAUAGUGGAAUUCCUAGUGUAGCGGUGUAAUGCGUAGAUAUUAGGAGGACCAUCAGUGGCGAAGGCGACUCUCUGGACAGCAACUGACACUGCGGCACGAAAGCGUGGGGAGCAAACAGGAUUAGAUACCCUGGUAGUC